AGUGGCGUAGCACAUGUCGUUCUCGUUCUCUCUUUCCUGCCUCAUUCGUUCUCGAGAGAAUCAUUGAGCGUCAGAUGCAAAGCUGAACGAUGAGCAAAACCGUCAUGCGAAUUUAUAUGACACGGCGCUGAAAGUGUUGAAUUUCACCAUUAGUUAUUGAUCGCUUUCUUCUUCUCAGGCGCAAGAGUAAAGCCUUUAAACUCCAUAGAUACCCAAAACAACACCCAUACUUCUAAAGCCACCUACCCGGGUGAUUUGCAGUGCAACUAUUGUUAGCAGGUGUUUGUGCGGUUAUCCGGUCUUGUCGGGGCUAGGUCCUUUGGUGAAGCUGUCAUCUCGAAUAACUUAACAACAUGUCCGGCAUUGGUUCAGGCCCCGUAUAGACGUGGCAGGUUGCAUCUAUUGACCAAUCGAGUAUAGUAAUGUGCUCUCUGGCGCACUCCCAUAACUCUUAUCUCACCCCAGCUAUUGUUAGUUCGAUUCCAGCUCCGGCAAAAUGGGAACUACGGAGUACUGAUAAGUAAAGUUGGCAAAAAUUCGUAGUUGACUCCGAUCCGACUCUGAAAAUUACGGAAUCAAGGUCCGCUCAGCAUUAUUUGGAAUCGUUCAGCAUUGUCCGGAGUCGUCCGGAGUCGAAGUGCACGCUCAAAGGGAAAGACAAUAAGACACCAAGAAAUUAAAUGCCUGAUCACAAGCACAUUGCAUUGGACGGCUCUUGUUGACUCCUACUGACUUCGAUUCCAGUCCACUACGGGCGACUCCAGACCACUUCGGGCGACUCCAGACGACUUCGGACGAUUUCAACUCCGAACGACUCUGUCGAGGGGAACUCCGGACGACUCCGAAUGACUCCUAACAUCUUCGGGAGACUUCAGGCGACUGCGAACAAUUCCUAACGACUCCGGAUGACUCUGACUCUGGGUGAACCUAGUGGUCCCAUUUUGCCGUAGUCGGAAUCGGACUAACAAUUGCCGGAGAUGGAUCGGAGUAAUUGGUGCGCUCCAAAGAGCAUAUCACUACUCCGGACGACUCCUGACAAAUCCGGAAGGCUCCGGCCUUCCCGAGAUCCAAUUGAACCAACCUUUGCCGGAUCGUUCAGAAUUCCAGGAUUCAUUUUCGGCCACCUACACGAGAACCGUGCCUGUACCAGUGCCCGCUCCAUGUCCAGCUCAUUUUCCUGUACCUGUACAUGUACAUCCAGACGCUAUGGCCCAUGCGGCGGAUGAUCCGGCACCUGUCCCUACGCUUCCCAUCACACCACAACUCUCAUGGAUAGGGUGAUUUUCUGCUUCGAUUUUAACUACCGCAUCUGGCGGCGGCUGGUGGAAGCUUUUUUUGGUCAUCGAGGGAAUGGUCGUGCCGGAUCUCAAAUUUAAGUAAUUUUUUCAGCGUUUUGUUAUGCCAAAAUGGCUGAAAUACUUGUUUGUAUUUCU
Molecule: long non-coding RNA, 1433 nt
Organism: Anopheles arabiensis
Lineage: Eukaryota; Metazoa; Arthropoda; Insecta; Diptera; Culicidae
Exons: 3
Source: RefSeq, a predicted model, not a curated record